RNA transcript from Hevea brasiliensis (rubber tree), 2917 nucleotides. It is a transcript of the gene named histone-lysine N-methyltransferase, H3 lysine-9 specific SUVH3, with no coding region annotated. The transcript is spliced from 4 exons. The record is from RefSeq and is a predicted model, not a curated record. Lineage: Eukaryota; Viridiplantae; Streptophyta; Magnoliopsida; Malpighiales; Euphorbiaceae.
AAAUUUACUUAAAGGAGCGAAGCCAGAGCCAUAGAGUAAUGACGCAUCAGGCAGGGGGCUCCCACAGAGUUCCAAACCAGUGCUUCGUCUUCGGACCCCGAAGCCACCGCCAAGCUCUCAUUCUCUCUUCUAACAAAAAGUAAACCCUUUUCUCACCUUCCUUCGCUCUGUCUUUCUUCUUGCAAAGCCCUAACGGUCAACCAAUCAGGGAAAAAGAAAUGGUUUUUUUGCUUUCUAGAUGUUGGAAUUUGAAUUGAAAUAGUGAUUAGGGAGAAAGUAUAAGGCGGGUUUCAUUUGGGUAUUGGAGGGUUGGUUGGUUUGUUUAUUGUUUCUUUUCCCCCUUUUUGUUUGGGGUCGAGUAAUUGGAAAUGGAAGGAGGGUCUGGUAGCAAUUCUGUACCUCCUUCGGCUACGUUUGACAAAUCAAGAGUGUUGGAUGUCAAACCGCUGCGUAGUUUGGUUCCUGUGUUUCCAUCUAGUCCUCAGGCUCCUCCUUUUGUUUGUGCGCCUCCUUCUGGUCCUUUCCCGUCUGGUUUUUCCCCGUUUUACCCUUUUAAUGGACCGCAACCCACUCCUCCUGACCUCAACCAGCAUACCCACACUCCAGCGCCUCUUCGAUCUUUCCGGGCGCCACAGUCAAAUGGGAAGAUGGCUACAGAUGGGAACGCAGAUGGUUCCACAGGUGCCCCAACAAAGCGUCCUGUGGGGCGGCCAAGAUCCUCCUCCGCAUCCCAAAAGAAGGCCAAGAAAGACCUGGUUUUUACCUUGGCUGUUGUUGAUAAUAACUUCGUUUUGGGGAUUACUCCCGCUCAGAGGGAGGAUGGUGACACGGAAGUGGUGAAUAACGUGCGAAUGAGGUUUGAUGCCCUUAGGAGAAGGCUUAGCCAAUUAGAGGAUGCUAAGGAAUCGCCCAAUGGGUGGAUUAGGCGUGCAGAUUUGAAAGCAGCCAAUAUUAUGAUGAGCAAAGGGUUGAGGACGAAUCUGAGGAAGAGAGUUGGAGUGGUUCCUGGAGUUGAGGUUGGGGAUAUUUUCUUUUUCCGAAUGGAGAUGUGUUUAGUUGGGUUGCAUUCUCAGACCAUGGCUGGGAUUGAUUACAUGAUUGUGAGAGCUGAUAUAGAAGAAGAUCCACUGGCUGUAAGCAUUGUUUCUUCUGGUGGGUAUGAGGAUGAGGCAGAGGAUAGGGAUGUUUUAAUUUAUAGUGGGCAGGGUGGUAAUGUCAACAGCAACAAGAAGGAAGCAGCUGAUCAGAAACUUGAGAGGGGUAACCUUGCAUUGGAGAGGAGCUUGCAUCGUAACAAUGAGGUGAGAGUCAUUCGGGGUAUGAAGGAUGCCAUUAGUCCAACAGCAAAGGUCUAUGUGUAUGAUGGGCUUUAUAGGAUCCAGGAGUCAUGGGUGGAAAAGGGGAAAUCUGGUUGCAAUAUAUUUAAGUACAAGUUGGUUAGGUUGCCUGGGCAGCCAGGUGCUUUUGAUGUUUGGAAAUCAAUACAGCAGUGGCGGGAAGGGUUUUCUUCAAGGAUUGGUUUAAUUCUGCCAGACCUCACUUCGGGGACUGAAGGUAUCCCUGUGUCACUUGUAAAUGAUGUUGAUAAAGAGAAGGGACCUGCAUACUUCACAUACUUUGCUAGUGUCAAGUAUGUUAAAUCAUUUAAGUUAACAGAGCCUUCUUGUGGAUGCAACUGCCAUAAUGCAUGUGCCCCAGGUGAUCUGAACUGCUCUUGCAUUAGGAAAAAUGGAGGUGACUUCCCCUAUACUGCCAAUGGGGUUCUAGUUAGCCGGAGGCCGUUGGUUCAUGAAUGUGGUCCCACAUGUCCAUGCAUUCCCAACUGUAAGAACCGGGUGACACAAACUGGUUUAAAGGUUCGCUUGGAAGUGUUUAAAACCAAGGACAGAGGUUGGGGCCUGCGGUCAUGGGAUCCUAUUCGUGCUGGUACUUUUAUUUGUGAAUAUGCGGGUGAAGUUAUAGAAAAAGUAAAGGCAAGGCAGGAUGGAGAAGGUGAAGAUGAUGAUUAUGUGUUUGAUACAACACGUGUUUAUGAGCCAUUCAAAUGGAAUUGUGAACCUGGACUAGUGGAGGGGGAUGGUAAUGACACCACUGAGGAAUACAGCAUCCCUUCUCCUCUAAUCAUAAGUGCCAAGAAUGUUGGAAAUGUAGCUCGAUUUAUGAAUCAUAGUUGUAAUCCAAAUGUUUUUUGGCAACCAGUUGCGUAUGAACAAAAUAGUGAGUCCUACGUCCAUAUUGCUUUUUUUGCAAUGAAACACAUCCCCCCUAUGACAGAGUUGACUUAUGACUAUGGGACUUCCCGCUCGGAUGAGGUUGAUGGUAAUGAUUCAUUGCAUGGAAAAAAGAAAUGCCUGUGUGGAUCGCCAAGAUGCCGAGGUUGUUUUGGUUGAAGAUUGUCUAUGAACAAGCAUUGCUGCAAGCACGCCAUGGAUGGAUAGAGUUUUCUUCUUGAAGUUGAUAAAAGUGGCGUUUCACCGCUGGGAAACAGUAUCAUUUGCAGAAUUGUAUGUUUACUUAUCUCAUUUCACGUAUGAAGAAAAAUGUAGAAUGAAACGUAAGGCAAAUAACAAAGAGAAGUAAUCAAAGAUCAUAACAACCUUGAAAUUAGCCGGUUUAGCCUGGUCGCCUUCCACCACAAUCAAGCCUUAGCCUCCUGAGCAGCUGAUGUGCUAGGCUCUGCUUCUUUCGCUUCUACUUCUUGCCCUUCUUCUGCUUCUUUGACUUCGGCCCCGUCUGAGAAGUUCCAAGCCAAUAAGCAAAUGUUAUGAAUUCAAAGAAACAGCAAUGCAUGCAUAUUUGAACAAUUCAACACACUAAAUUGUUUCAUGUAAAAUAUGCCGGUAGAAAUUUUGGUACGAUGACCAAGACAAACUUUGUAAAUAAAUUUCUCAAGAAAUACAACUAUUUCACGAACAAA